GGUUAAGUGGGAAACGAUGUGGGAAGGCCCAGACAGCCAGGAUGUUGGCUUAGAAGCAGCCAUCAUUUAAAGAAAGCGUAAUAGCUCACUGGUCGAGUCGGCCUGCGCGGAAGAUGUAACGGGGCUAAACCAUGCACCGAAGCUGCGGCAGCGACACUGUGUGUUGUUGGGUAGGGGAGCGUUCUGUAAGCCUGUGAAGGUGUGUCGUGAGGCAUGCUGGAGGUAUCAGAAGUGCGAAUGCUGACAUAAGUAACGAUAAAGCGGGUGAAAAGCCCGCUCGCCGGAAGACCAAGGGUUCCUGUCCAACGUUAAUCGGGGCAGGGUGAGUCGACCCCUAAGGCGAGGCCGAAAGGCGUAGUCGAUGGGAAACGGGUUAAUAUUCCCGUACUUGGUGUUACUGCGAAGGGGGGACGGAGAAGGCUAUGUUGGCCGGGCGACGGUUGUCCCGGUUUAAGCGUGUAGGUGUGUGUUCCAGGUAAAUCCGGUUCACUUUAACACUGAGGCGUGACGACGAGGCACUACGGUGCUGAAGCAACAAAUGCCCUGCUUCCAGGAAAAGCCUCUAAGCAUCAGGUAACAUCAAAUCGUACCCCAAACCGACACAGGUGGUCAGGUAGAGAAUACCAAGGCGCUUGAGAGAACUCGGGUGAAGGAACUAGGCAAAAUGGUGCCGUAACUUCGGGAGAAGGCACGCUGACACGUAGGUGAAGUGAUUUACUCAUGGAGCUGAAGUCAGUCGAAGAUACCAGCUGGCUGCAACUGUUUAUUAAAAACACAGCACUGUGCAAACACGAAAGUGGACGUAUACGGUGUGACGCCUGCCCGGUGCCGGAAGGUUAAUUGAUGGGGUCAGCGCAAGCGAAGCUCCUGAUCGAAGCCCCGGUAAACGGCGGCCGUAACUAUAACGGUCCUAAGGUAGCGAAAUUCCUUGUCGGGUAAGUUCCGACCUGCACGAAUGGCGUAAUGAUGGCCAGGCUGUCUCCACCCGAGACUCAGUGAAAUUGAACUCGCUGUGAAGAUGCAGUGUACCCGCGGCAAGACGGAAAGACCCCGUGAACCUUUACUAUAGCUUGACACUGAACAUUGAGCCUUGAUGUGUAGGAUAGGUGGGAGGCUUUGAAGUGUGGACGCCAGUCUGCAUGGAGCCGACCUUGAAAUACCACCCUUUAAUGUUUGAUGUUCUAACGUGGACCCGUUACCCGGGUUGCGGACAGUGUCUGGUGGGUAGUUUGACUGGGGCGGUCUCCUCCUAAAGAGUAACGGAGGAGCACG
This 1272-nucleotide ribosomal RNA is filed under the name Salmonella enterica subsp. enterica serovar Enteritidis. RNAcentral describes it as "partial 23S ribosomal RNA". It matches the Rfam family "Bacterial large subunit ribosomal RNA", at positions 1057 to 2312 of the family's 2925-position model. Lineage: Bacteria; Pseudomonadati; Pseudomonadota; Gammaproteobacteria; Enterobacterales; Enterobacteriaceae. The record is from RNAcentral.